GUGAAUUUUUUUACAUUGAGGAAGGUGUGUUGGGAUGUUGUUAUCAACAUCUGUUAAUUGUCAAGAAGUACUCAGUAGCUCAACUGUUAACAGGUGCUGCUAAGAACGUAUCAGUAAGAACAUAUGGAAGAGGAGCUAUGACAAAAUUGAUAUUUAAACUUUAAAUAUCAAGAAUUUGCGAGGACUUACCAAGUGUUCAGUCUGGGCAAGACUACCCUUUGCUGAUCUAAAUAGCUUUCCAACAACUGUGGGCCAUUUGUUUCUGCUACAGCGAGGCAACUUUUUUCCAGUAGUGGUGAAAAUUGUGCAGCGGCCCCUUGAAGGAAAUCUUCCUGCCCACCAGAACUGGCAGCUUCCUUUCCCUAGCAACCUGCUCCAGCAACAAGGGUCUUUUGCUUUGGCUCUCGCAGCACUUGGUUGGCAAAGCCGACUCUUUGGAGAACCAACUUGUUGAAAGGAAUUGUACUAGCCUUCAGGAAAGAAAGUGCAUAUGCAUCCCUGGAAAAGUACAUUGUGAAACUAUGGAAUUACCAAAACUACAGAACAAAUACAUAUUGAGAGAAGCCCAGAUCACACAGAGACACCACAUGGAGGAUUGCUGAGGCGAUCUGGUUGACAGCCUCAGAUGAGCUCUGAGCUAACACACCAGCAUCAAAUGCCAGUCUUGUGAGCAUGUGAUCUUGGAUGUCCCAACUAGCCAAAGCUUGGGAAGACUGCAGUAGAAGCACCCAGGUGAACAUAGCCACCUUACAUACUGUUGAGGGAUAAUAUGUGACUUUUGUUGUAGGGUACUGAAUUUGGGUAUUUCAUUUUGUGGUAAUAGCAAACAAAAAUAUCUUCAUUUUUUGAGUGCUUGUCAUGUACCAGACACUGUGCCAGAAACUUUGCAUUCAUUAUCUCAUUAAAUCUUCACCAAUUUAUAGGUUAGAUGUGAUUCCCACUUUAAGAUUAAGUUAGAACAUUUCCUGGCUAAAAGGGGAAAGGAAUGCUACAGAGAUAUGUUAAAAUCCAGUCUGUAUACUCAUGUGUUUUCACAUAAUUUUGUUAAAAGACCACAUAACCUUGGUGAGUCAUUAACCCCCAUUGUGAACGUUUUUCUCAUUCAUAAAACAAAACUGAUGACCCACAUGUUUAUCAUGAUAAUCUUAGGCAUAUAUAAAUUAUCCCGUGUAGCCUAAAAUCUAAUAUACAUAGCGUGUGACAGUGUAUUUAAAAUCAUAUCUAAGCUAC
Long non-coding RNA from Neofelis nebulosa (Clouded leopard), 1230 nucleotides. RefSeq lists it as uncharacterized. Lineage: Eukaryota; Metazoa; Chordata; Mammalia; Carnivora; Felidae. The record is from RefSeq and is a predicted model, not a curated record. The transcript is spliced from 3 exons.